Long non-coding RNA from Peromyscus californicus insignis, 3483 nucleotides. RefSeq lists it as uncharacterized. The transcript is spliced from 3 exons. The record is from RefSeq and is a predicted model, not a curated record. Lineage: Eukaryota; Metazoa; Chordata; Mammalia; Rodentia; Cricetidae.
AUUUUCUCUUAUUUGUUUUUUUCUCCCCCGAAAAGAUCGUCACUGAAGAGUUUGUCUCCCCACCCCCAACCCCAUUCCACUCUCCACCCUUUCCAGCCUUGUUUGUUCUGACCUGCAUCUUUAAGCUCAGGCCCCCAGGCCCUUACCAGGUGGGAACUUGAAAUCAACAUCUGUGAAAAGUUGAGAAGAUCCCCCUCUGCACCUCCUCUCUCCUCCCUCUAGCCAUCUAAGGAGUGAAUCACGUGAAUCGCGGCAAACUACGACAGUACUUGUUACCCACUGUAGAAGCAAGACAGAAGAAGAAAGAAAGGCAAAGGAACAGGAAAGAAAAGUAGAAUACAGAUGACAGGAGCAACAGAAAGAGAUCUACACAUCAUUUCGUUUUUUACUAGUGGAGUCGCUUGGUUUAAGGUUCACGUCUGGGUUCUUCCCUGUGAGAACAGGUUUAUGAAUUAAACAGCUCCCGCAACCUCUCUGCUCUACAGUGGCUGCACCCCUGGAAUGAAUGCACAGAAACCACUCCUCAAUUUGUAUCUUUAGAUGUAACAUGGAAGAAGACAAUAGACAGAAAAACUUGACUUAAGGCCUGGCCUUUUCAGUGUAAGUUCUCCGUCAACAUUGCCUCCCUUUAUUCUCUGGCGUGUUACAUAGUUUUCCCUUGAAUCAGGCAGGAGGAAUAGUAUUUACUCUUUCUAUUUCUCAAAAAUGAAAACUGGAGACCAGUGACCCAGCCAAGCCUGCGCAGCUGGUAAGAAACAAAGCAAAAAGCAACUCCCAGAGGUUCUCGUUCUGAAUCUGGGUUACAAAGCUGUACUACAUCAUAAGGGGAAUAAGUAUUAACCCAGAGAGAGUUAUAUUGAGUUGCUAAGAUAGCAUACCUUCCCAUGUUCAAAACUGUGCUGAAGUUCAAUACUGGGGCUAGAGAAACAACUUAGAAGAUAGCGAUAUUUGCUCCUCUAGGCUGUCAAUGUUAAUUAAUAUCUGAAAUCCAGGUAAAGGUGAAAAAGCCAAUUCCUCAAACACAUAACACACACACACAUACACCACUUUUAUCGUUAUCAUCAUCAUCUAAUUUUUUAAAAGUUUUAAAAAGUUACAAUACUGCAUAAACCUUGUUCAUAUAUAUGUAGAAAUAAAUACUUUCAUGACUUUUUAAAUUUAGUGACAACUUUAAAUUUCCACACAUUUUUAUCAAACUCCAUCUUCAAUUUUCUACAAAUUAUGUAAGUGUUAUAUCAAAUAUAUUAUCAUUUCCUUUUUUAGAGGCAAGAACAUAGAUAGAUCACUGCAAAGUCAUAAAAGGAAGGUAAAUACAUCAUCAGGAGAGUCCAUGUCUGCGUUCUUUAUGUUAAUAAAGAUUGAUGCCGAGGCUGGAAACAGCACUUUGUAGAGAUUGCUUAAGCGCCCCCUGGUCUGCAGCGUUUGAGCAUUGGAUUCCCUGAAAUCCUGGCUGCCACAUAGAUAUGUGAAAUAUUCCAGCUCCCAGUGAAUACAGAGCUGUUGCUAAGUCCGCUCACACUGCGAUAUGCUCACACUGACAGCCCUCCAGCUAGCACAACUGCGAUCUACAUGCUCUCAAGGUCCAUUUUAAAGUUAGUCACUCUUUCUCACCAAAAGCACACACAAGUGGGUUAAGUUACACCCUGAAUAUUACACAUCUGAAGAGCACUGAAGCCCAGAAGGCCCUCCUGACACACUUGCUUUCUAAGAGGUCUUGGAAGUGGGUAACUAUCUUCAGAAACUGAUGAGACUGUCUUACUUCUAGACUGAUUAUCUAACAUGAAAUCAAGACGUGCAGACUUUGCAUCACUCUACACCUUAGCGACAUAGACAAAUUUCUUCCCCAGCAAAGGAAAAUAGGUAGGAUUAGACCUAGUGAAGCUUGAGAAAAGUUUCAGGAAAAGUUUGUGUGUAGAGAAUUUUCCCUUCGGCUCUCUUCUGCCUCAGUGUCCCCAACCGAUCGCCACUGUGUUCAUUACACUUGUAGCUCAUAUGAGUUAGCAAAACUUUUCCGUCCCACAGGCAUUCAACAUUUAAAAUGCAGGCAGCCAUUGUGCUGCUUCCUGUGUGAGCUAAUGCUGAGCUUUAAAGAAGGCUAAUGGGUAAGACAUUAAGAACUCUAUCUGACCUUCCCCAAUAACACACACACACACACACACACACACACACACACACACACACACACAAACACACACACACACACACACACACACACACACACAAACUUGUUCUUUGCUCUGUUACUGUGGCCCUUGUGGACAUUGUUUCCUAAGCCUUGCUUUGGACAUUCAAGUUCAAAAAUAAGAACUGCAUCCCCUCUGUAGCCCAGCCACUCCCAGCUCUAACAAUUUUCAAAGCACUGACAUCAUGUUACAAUUGAACAAAUUUCUUCCUUAGCAUUUGAGUUAUAUAAGCCUGGUUCUAAUAUUUCACUUUGUAUUAUUAAUGACACAGCUUUCUAUUUUGUUUGUUUUGGGGUUUUGGAGGUUUUUUUUUCUUCUUUUUUUUUUGAGACUGGGUUUUUCUGUGUACCCCUGGCUGCCCUGCAAGUCAUUCUGUAGACCAGGCUGGCCUCAAACUAACAGAGAUCUGCCUGCCUCUGCCUCCUGAAUACAGUGAUUAAAGGUAUGCACCAUUACAGCCUCUAGACACAGCUUUCUUUAUAUCUUAGUUUUACUUGCUUUUGAAGAUGCUAAGAUGCAUUUAUGGACUUUAUAAACCUUCAUAGGCUCCAGGUUAAGAUUCUGUACUCUGAGCCAUGACGCAGAGUAGCCUGGGCUGAUGUAAACAGUGCAUAAGGAAGACACAAAGAUACAGCCUUUCUCUGAAAGGCCAUAUUCUAUCACUUAACUGUAUGACUCUUCAGUGUUUAAGAACACCUUUUUUUUUUUUAAUUCUCAAUUUCUGUCAAAAUAUUUAGUUUUCUUUCUGUACUACUAAUAAGUCAGUAUGUCCUGGGCCAAUCAAUCAAUGUUUAUUGAAUAGCUGGAGGUACCUAGGCAAGGCUCUAAGGAAAGAGAUGUCUAGUAACCUGUCCAUAAAUCAAUAAGCAAAUAUCAAUUAAGGAACGACUAUAAAAGAAAUAAUCAGUUUUAGGUAUGGGAAAGGCACAAAAAAUACAAAGAACAACUCAAAGGCCAUGGCAUCAAAGGAUUUAUAUAUCAUAAAGAAAUAAGAGGCAACGGGUUAUUUAUAUAAGUGCGUCUUAGCAACAUCAUGGCAGAAAACCUACAUAUAAAGCACAAUUCCUGGCCAAAAUAAAAUAUGAUAUAGUUAACAAAAAAAUGUCUUAGUAAGCCAGAGGAGGAAUAAGGUGGAGGUCAUUUUACACUUGAGUGGUUAGAUAACUGUUUGUGAAGAACAAGGUAAAAUAUGAGCGGAAUCAUGAGAAAUUAAAAAAAAUGCAUUUGGCAUGAAAGGAAGGCGAUGGCUUAAUUGAGGCAGGCAGAGCAGCACCAAUAAAACCUUGAAUGCAAAAAAAAA